GGGGUCGUAGCUCAGUUGGAAGAGCGCCAGAAUCGCACUCUGGAGGUCGUGAGUUCGAGCCUCAUCGGCUCCA
This 73-nucleotide transfer RNA is filed under the name Opitutales bacterium. Its description in RNAcentral is "tRNA-Ala". It matches the Rfam family "tRNA". Rfam says of the family: Transfer RNA (tRNA) molecules are approximately 80 nucleotides in length. Their secondary structure includes four short double-helical elements and three loops (D, anti-codon, and T loops). The record is from RNAcentral. RNAcentral also lists the same sequence under 1 other name. Lineage: Bacteria; Pseudomonadati; Verrucomicrobiota; Opitutia; Opitutales.